GGGAAGGCAUAGACAGCCAGGAUGUUGGCUUAGAAGCAGCCAUCAUUUAAAGAAAGCGUAAUAGCUCACUGGUCGAGUCGGCCUGCGCGGAAGAUGUAACGGGGCUAAACCAUGCACCGAAGCUGCGGCAGCGACGCUUAGGCGUUGUUGGGUAGGGGAGCGUUCUGUAAGCCGUUGAAGGUGGCCUGUGAGGGUUGCUGGAGGUAUCAGAAGUGCGAAUGCUGACAUAAGUAACGAUAAAGCGGGUGAAAAGCCCGCUCGCCGGAAGACCAAGGGUUCCUGUCCAACGUUAAUCGGGGCAGGGUGAGUCGACCCCUAAGGCGAGGCUGAAAAGCG
Molecule: ribosomal RNA, 336 nt
Filed under: Thalassospira mesophila
Lineage: Bacteria; Pseudomonadati; Pseudomonadota; Alphaproteobacteria; Rhodospirillales; Thalassospiraceae
Description: Bacterial large subunit ribosomal RNA
Rfam family: Bacterial large subunit ribosomal RNA
Source: Rfam by way of RNAcentral